Molecule: ribosomal RNA, 390 nt
Filed under: uncultured Roseobacter sp.
Lineage: Bacteria; Pseudomonadati; Pseudomonadota; Alphaproteobacteria; Rhodobacterales; Roseobacteraceae
Description: bacterial SSU rRNA
Rfam family: Bacterial small subunit ribosomal RNA
Source: RNAcentral
CUAACUCCGUGCCAGAGCCGCGGUAAUACGGAGGGGGUUAGCGUUGUUCGGAAUUACUGGGCGUAAAGCGCGCGUAGGCGGAUUAGAAAGUUGGGGGUGAAAUCCCGGGGCUCAACCUCGGAACUGCCUCCAAAACUGCUAGUCUAGAGUUCGAGAGAGGUGAGUGGAAUUCCGAGUGUAGAGGUGAAAUUCGUAGAUAUUCGGAGGAACACCAGUGGCGAAGGCGGCUCACUGGCUCGAUACUGACGCUGAGGUGCGAAAGUGUGGGGAGCAAACAGGAUUAGAUACCCUGGUAGUCCACACCGUAAACGAUGAAUGCCAGUCGUCGGGUAGUAUACUAUUCGGUGACACACCUAACGGAUUAAGCAUUCCGCCUGGGGAGUACGGUCG